Molecule: unclassified non-coding RNA, 381 nt
Filed under: soil metagenome
Description: partial contains 5.8S ribosomal RNA, internal transcribed spacer 2, and large subunit ribosomal RNA
Rfam family: 5.8S ribosomal RNA (bases 1-120)
Source: RNAcentral
GAUGAAGAACUUAGCGAAAUGCGAUAAGUAAUGUGAAUUGCAGAAUUCAGUGAAUCAUCGAAUCUUUGAACGCACCUUGCACCCUUUGGCAUUCCGAAGGGUAUGCUCGUUUGAGUGUCAUUGUACUCUCACACUCCCACUCUUUUGGAUUGGGAGCGGUGGACUUGGGUGUUGCUGCUUCACUGUGGCUCGCCUCAAAUGGAGUAGUGCAACUCUCGGUUGGACAUAGUACGGCGUGAUAAGUGUCUUCGCCGGCGCCUCACUAGAGGGUGGCCGAUCGGGAGCUCUGUGCUUCAAACCGUCUUCGGACAAUCUCUGACAACUUGACCUCAAAUCGAGUAGGACUACCCGCUGAACUUAAGCAUAUCAAUAAGCGGAGGA